GCUUGUACAAAGGCCGUUCAGCGUCGGGAUUUACACUCGGCUCCACACGGAUAUGUGAAGAAUGAAGGGACCCUGCAGCGAAACGGAGAGCCAACCUCUGACUGAGUGCCUGUCUACACAGUCUGACCACCUGUUGAAGGGCUGUUUGAUGACGAUUUGGACUCCUAUGGGAGAUGAGGACACACCCACAUCUGUUCCAUACUGCAGCCAUUGAUGGUGUUACAGCUCUGAGUCAGAUUUGGGCCAUCAGACGCACACACUGGAAAACCAGCACCUGGACUUCAUGCAGGAGAGACGGCCUCAGUGAUAAUUCAUCAGCAGCUGUGGAGAG
Long non-coding RNA from Oreochromis aureus, 331 nucleotides. NCBI's taxonomy places the organism in Eukaryota, Metazoa, Chordata, Actinopteri, Cichliformes, Cichlidae. The record is from Ensembl.